This 384-nucleotide unclassified non-coding RNA is filed under the name soil metagenome. RNAcentral's name for it is "partial contains 5.8S ribosomal RNA, internal transcribed spacer 2, and large subunit ribosomal RNA". The stretch from base 1 to 120 matches the Rfam family "5.8S ribosomal RNA", at positions 35 to 154 of the family's 154-position model. The record is from RNAcentral.
GAUGAAGAACGCAGCGAAAUGCGAUAAGUAAUGUGAAUUGCAGAAUUCAGUGAAUCAUCGAAUCUUUGAACGCACCUUGCACCCUUUGGCAUUCCGAAGGGUAUGCUCGUUUGAGUGUCAUUGUACUCUCACUCUCCCGAUGCUUUUGGAUCGGGAGUGGUGGACUUGGGUGUUGCUGCUUUGCUGUGGCUCGCCUCAAAUGGAGUAGUGCAACUCUUGGUUGGACAUAGUACGGCGUGAUAAGUGUCUUCGCCGGCGCCUCAUUAUAGAGGGUGGCCGAUCGGGAGCUCUGUGCUUCAAACCGUCUUCGGACAACAUCUGACAACUUGACCUCAAAUCGAGUAGGACUACCCGCUGAACUUAAGCAUAUCAAUAAGCGGAGGA